GAAAGAGGCUGAGAAGCAUUGUUUGACCAAUGGCAGAAAGUUUCUGGAGCCAAAAAAGAAAUGUUACAGGGGCUUCCACAAGACACUCAAGGCCUUGUGUAAAAACAAUGGGUAUUUCAGGUGUGGUAAUGGAGAUGUUGUUGACCUGAACUAUACACUCGCAGAGCCCAUGUAUGCAAAUAUGAAUGACGUAUUUCUGCAAACCUUCAGCCCCGGAAGUUCAAGACAAUCAAUCUAUGGGAAGCUUGGAAGUUUCCAGGAAUCAUUUAUCGCACCUUGGGAUCUGGAUGCAUGUAAAAAGGAGCCAGAAAAAUACCUGCGUAAGGUGUACAUUAAGACAAAGCAAAGAAAAUUGCUUAGCAGUAUGGAAAAGGAGAUCGUUCAAAGAAAGAAGUCCAUCCAUGAUUCCCUCAGCAAAUCUGUCGAAGCAACUAUGAUGACAGCUUAUAGAGGUGAGCUCCUCUGUGCUCCUUUUGUACAUGUUCCUCCCUUUUUGUACAUUUUGGACUGUGGGAGGAAACUGGACAACCUGCAGAUAACCCAUGUAACAGAUAGACAAAGCUGGAUUCAUACCUAUAGCUCCCAGAAAACGUGUUUUUAAUUGUGUGUCAUUGUUGCUAUAAAUAAUAUUUUCCAGAUUUUUCUGGGAAUGGGACAUACACUCUGGCAAAUAUUCAGGACACACUGAAGGAAAAAAUUCUGUCUUCCAAAAAUACCAUUUUUCAGCAAGCUAUGAAAGAGAUGCUGAGACAGUUUGAAGACCUCAAGAUGUGGACUGUGAAAGAACUUGAGACACAGAUGACGGCACACAUGAGGGUGGCUCUCGGGCAGAUCCCAGACGACUUCAUCAACCUACCUGAUGUUGAUGAAGAAUUACAGAAUAUGAAAAGUUGGUGUGAAGUAUUAGACCUUAGGAUUUUUAUGUGAAAGGACCUCCUGGACAGAAGAACCAUUCUUGUCAAACAUUUACAUCAGGAGUACAGCUACAAGAAAAAGCGCACUUGAAAAGUAAUGGAAGACUGCAAACAUAAUUAUUUGAUGGUUUAUUUGGUGUUUAAUGUGUAAAAAAAAAUUGAACACACUUUU
This is a long non-coding RNA of Scleropages formosus (Asian bonytongue), 1086 nucleotides long. RefSeq lists it as uncharacterized. Lineage: Eukaryota; Metazoa; Chordata; Actinopteri; Osteoglossiformes; Osteoglossidae. The transcript is spliced from 6 exons. The record is from RefSeq and is a predicted model, not a curated record.